GGGCCGUGGGAGCGGGAGCCCGGAGAUGGGUACUGAGACAAGGGCCCAGGCCNUACGGNGCGCAGCAGUUGCGAAAACUUGUCAAUGCACGAAAGUGUGAACGGGCUACCCCGAGUGCCGUCCGCUGAGGAUGGCUUUUCUCUGCUGUAAGAAGGCGGAGGAAUAAGGAGAGGGCAAGUCUGGUGUCAGCCGCCGCGGUAAUACCAGCUCUCCGAGUGGUAGGGAUGAUUAUUGGGCCUAAAGCGUCCGUAGCCGGCCUUCCAAGUCUUUCGUUAAAUCCAGCGAUUCAAUCGUUGGACUGCGGGAGAUACUGUUAGGCUAGGGGGCGGGAGAAGCCGACGGUAUUUCUGGGGUAGGGGUAAAAUCCUAUAAUCCCAGGAAGACCACCAGUGGCGUAGGCGGUCGGCUAGCACGCGCUCGACGGUGAGGGACGAAAGCUGAGGGAGCAAACCGGAUUAGAUACCCGGGUAGUCCCAGCUGUAAACGAUGCGGGCUAGGUGUUGAAGCGGCUACGAGCCGCUUCAGUGCCGCAGGGAAGCCAUUAAGCCCGCCGCCUGGGGAGUACGGCCGCAAGGCUGAAACUUAAAGGAAUUGGCGGGGGA
Molecule: ribosomal RNA, 602 nt
Filed under: uncultured archaeon
Lineage: Archaea
Description: bacterial SSU rRNA
Rfam family: Archaeal small subunit ribosomal RNA
Source: RNAcentral